Molecule: ribosomal RNA, 340 nt
Filed under: Artema sp. Om14
Lineage: Eukaryota; Metazoa; Arthropoda; Arachnida; Araneae; Pholcidae
Description: bacterial SSU rRNA
Source: RNAcentral
UWAGAYGUCCGGGGCCGCACGCGCGCUACACUGAAGGAAUCAGCGUGUGCUUUCCCUGUCCGCUAGGACUGGGUAACCCGUUGAACCUCCUUCGUGAUAGGGAUAGGGGCUUGUAAUUGUUCCCCUUGAACGAGGAAUUCCCAGUAAGCGCGAGUCAUAAGCUCGUGUUGAUUAGGUCCCUGCCCUUUGUGCACACCGCCCGUCGCUACUUCCGAUUGAACGAGUUAGUGAGGUCUUCGGACUGGCCGUCGGAGCGGACUCUUCGUAGGCCGGGCCUACGUGCCGGAAAGACGACCGAACUUGUUCGUUUAGAGGAAGUAAAAGUCGUAACAAGGUUUCC